AGCUCAGCCACCUGCUUUCUGAGGAGCACUGAGCAAGAUGGCCACCUCCUGGUGGUAAGUCUCGCUCCUGGAGUUCCCAUCUUGACCCUACAGCGGGACAUUUUGCCGCCACCUCUUUGUGUGUUGGGAAGAUGACGUCCUUUCUGCUCGUCCUGCUUCUCUGAUUGAUCUGUGUCUCUGGAGAUCCCUUUGCUCAGCCAUCAGAUCAAGCAGGCAUCCAUGGUUCAGAAUGGUGAUGACCUGGGCAAGAGCUCACCAGUAAGGAGCAAAGGGGCCCGCCUGCCACUCUUAAGCAGAGCGCCUGCUGAAUCAGGAUUUCCAAGGCUCCGGCUGAGUGCCUGGCUGGGGGCUGUGUGUGCAGAUGCCACAAGAUGGACAAGACUGAGGACGCAGAUUUCCUACAACAGCAGACUUCUGAUGCCCAGGCCUCAGUUCUGAACUCUGGAGGCUACAACCUGGCCUGCUUAUAGACGGUGGACCAAAUGAAGGUGAAGAGGAGACGGAUGAGGAAACUGAAGCAACUGUUCAAGAAGAGGAUAUAAAAAGGGACAGGCAUUGAUGAUGAUAUCAGAGCUUCUUCCUGGGGAAUCUCAGCCUCACAUGAUGGAGUAUGACUAAAGGAAAAAAAUAAGGCUCUUCACAUACUUUCUUGGCAGUCUGUGAGGGUCAGGGUUGAUUUUGUGUCCCUAAAAUGUCACAUGAAGUUCAUAGGCACUUCCAAAGGGGCAGUCUAGCAAGUUAAAGAGUAGAUGUGGGGCUGUGUGGAGUCCAUUGUUUGGGUAAUCUUUUUCAAACAGUAGGAAUAUACCAGCUUGUAAAGAUUUGCCCACUUAGCUUCAAGUCUCUCUGAACACAUUUCCCCCCGCUCUAUGAAUAGAUGAAGACAUACAAAUGGAACUCUUGAUAUUCUUAAGUGAAAAACAUGAUAUGGAAUAGCAGAUAAAUACAAACAAUUUCUUAUCCAGCAAAGAGCUCCAGAAAUAUUUUGACUUCAUUUAAAACAGUUAUAUAAAUAUUUGCUGGUGGAAUUUUUUUCUAAACCAAAUACCCUGAAGGAUUUUAGUUGUCUAUCUACAACUUUUUGCUUGUGGAAAAUGUUGACUUCCUGGUUACUUUGACUUGUGUUCACCUGAAAUUUUGCUUUUGCAGUAGUUUUUCUUAUGAUUUAGUGGCAUUGCCUGUCCAGUGACAGGAAGUGGUGUUCUUAUUGGGACUAAUAUGUGUUAUGGCCCUAGAACCAGCAGAAGCCACUCCUGCUUUUUUCCACACUCUUCUUUCUAUAGAAGAGAAGGGAAUGAGGAUCCCACAUGGCAUUCACUGCCUUGAGCAUACUGAGAUUUCUUUGCAAAAGGAGAAACAGCACCAGCAACUAAGCAUUUUAUCCCAUUUUAUUUUACUUCUUCUAUGAUUCUUUGCCACUUAGCAAUGCCAAUUAAUUGAUUUGGGACUGGAAAUACAUUUCUUAUACAAUCUUCAAGUUUUCUUUCAUAAGAACAUAACUUUCAUCUGAUAUUGUUCCCCACUUCUCUCUUUUCAAAUGUAAUAUUUGGGCCAGUCCUUGAAAGUGAACUGAGUUGAGUUCUCAUGGCCCAUAAAAGAACAUAUUCAAAAUGUAUCAUUUUCUUUAUGUCACAGAUAAAAGAUCAUUAAUUGUAUAUAAAAUUUCCAUAUAAUUUUUAAAAUUUUUAUUUUGCAAUAAUUUAUUUUAGAUUUACAUUAAAGUUGCAAGGAAGGUACAAAGA
This 1742-nucleotide long non-coding RNA is filed under the name Homo sapiens (human). Its description in RNAcentral is "long intergenic non-protein coding RNA 2105". The record is from RNAcentral. Lineage: Eukaryota; Metazoa; Chordata; Mammalia; Primates; Hominidae.